RNAcentral lists this ribosomal RNA (433 nucleotides) under uncultured bacterium. Its description in RNAcentral is "partial 16S ribosomal RNA". It matches the Rfam family "Bacterial small subunit ribosomal RNA", at positions 29 to 507 of the family's 1533-position model. The record is from RNAcentral.
AACGAACGCUGGCGGCAGGCCUAACACAUGCAAGUCGAGCGAGGACUUCGGUUCUAGCGGCGGACGGGUGAGUAACGCGUGGGAAUGUGCCCUUCUCUACGGAAUAGCCCUGGGAAACUGGGAGUAAUACCGUAUACGCCCUAUUGGGGAAAGAUUUAUCGGAGAAGGAUCAGCCCGCGUUGGAUUAGGUAGUUGGUGGGGUAAUGGCCUACCAAGCCGACGAUCCAUAGCUGGUUUGAGAGGAUGAUCAGCCACACUGGGACUGAGACACGGCCCAGACUCCUACGGGAGGCAGCAGUGGGGAAUCUUAGACAAUGGGGGCAAACCUGAUAUAGCCAUGCCGCGGGAGUGAUGAAGGCCUUAGGGUUGUAAAGCUCUUUCAGCUGGGAAGAUAAUGACGGUACCAGCAGAAGAAGCCCCGGCUAACUCCGUG